CGGGGUAUUCACGCACAUUAUACACUACUGUCGCGCUUGCGCCUGCCCGGAAUGCCAGAGAGCCACCGAGGCUGCGUGUGCGCCUGCGCGGCGAAGACGCUAGUCAAAGGUAACGCGACGGCUCGAGGGGGAGGGCGCUCGUCCUCGCCCUGUCAGUAACGUGAGGUAGGUGAUGAACUUGUCGGCUUUUAGCGGCCCUUCCUCCUCCGGCAGUCGCCGCCAUUAUGUCCAUCACCAUAGAGCAAGAGUUCCAGGAGAUCGACGCUGCUAACGAGUGGCAGCCCCGCUACCUGGUGUUGAGCAAGUCAGCAUUGGAUAUACGGCACCAAUCCAGUGAUUACCCACAUAGAGUUGCAAAGUAUGCAGAAAACCGAAAUCGUAAUAGAUACAGAGAUGUUAGUCCAUAUGAUCAUAGUCGUGUGAUACUGCAGAACACAGACAAUGAUUACAUCAAUGCAAGCUUGGUGGUUAAUGAAGAAGCUCAGAGAAAUUAUAUACUAACACAGGGUCCACUUCCUAACACAUGUUGCCAUUUUUGGUUAAUGGUAUGGCAACAAAAGACCAAAGCAGUUGUUAUGCUGAACAGAAUUGUUGAGAAAGAUUCGGUGAAAUGUGAACAAUACUGGCCAUCAAAGGAAGAAGAGCAAAUGAUAUUCAAAGAAACAGGAUUUUGUGUGAGGCUAAAGUCUGAAGAUGUGAAAUCUUACUAUACUGUACGCCAGCUUCAGCUAGAAAAUAUCAGUACUGGUGAGUCCAGGAUGAUAUUCCAUUUUCAUUAUACUACAUGGCCAGAUUUUGGGGUUCCUGAAUCCCCUGCUUCAUUCCUUAACUUCUUGUUUAAAGUCAGAGAAUCUGGAUCUCUGAGCCCUGAACAUGGACCUGCAGUCAUUCACUGUAGUGCUGGAAUUGGACGAUCUGGUACAUUUUCAUUGGUAGACACAUGUCUUGUCUUGAUGGAAAAAAGAGAAGAUCCAUAUUCUGUAGACAUUAAGCAAGUAUUACUGAAUAUGAGAAAGUACCGAAUGGGACUUAUUCAAACUCCUGACCAGCUAAGAUUUUCAUAUAUGGCUGUAAUAGAGGGAUCAAAAUACAUAAUGGGUGAUGCUACUAUACAGAAUCGAUGGAAGAUACUGUCAAAAGAGGACCAGGCACCAAAUUCUGAACGCUCCCCUCCACACACAACCAAGUUAUCUACAGAGAAGUACAAUGGGAAUAGUGUGGGAUUAGAAAAUGAAGAGCAAGCAGAGCAGAUAAACACUGAUCGAUCUUCUGCUGGCCAGAAUGCUGCAGAUGCAAGUGCUGACAUCACUCUUCGAAAGCGGCUGAGAGAAGAUAGGAAAGCCAAUACAGCACAGAUGGUGCAGCAGAUGAGACAUAGGCUGAGUGAAGCUGAAAGAAAAAGAAAAAGGUGGUUAUAUUGGAAACCUAUUCUUACUAAGAUUGGAUUUGGUUCAGCCAUUUUCAUUGCAGUCUAUUCUUGCUGGAAAUUGUAUGUUCAAGGAGUUCUCAUAUAAGUGAGUGCUUAUUCAAUCAUGUGUUUACUGAUGAUAAAAAGUUUAAAUCCCAUUCAUUUCAGUGAGCAUUGCUGGGUCCAAGAAUGCUGCCACAGCACAUGGAACAAACAUGCUGCUACUUCUCUAGUGGCAGUUUAACUUGCAGCACUGAACUCCUACAUCUGAUAUUAAUGCAGUAAUCCUAUAAUGCACAACAGGAGAAUGAUGACUAGUCACUGGCUCAGGACUUUCCACUGCAGGUACUUCUGAAACCAAAUUGAUAGUUGGAAUAAAACGGAACACUCUUGGAUAAAUUAAUGCACAUUUAUCAGCAACUACAUGUAUAGUACUUAACAUAACCUGUUAGAUCUAGCAGAUGGAAUCUCCAAGAUUUGAGUCUGCCAACUCACAUACCCAAUAUAAGCAAUAAAUAGUGUGAUGCUGUACUUUGAAUGUUUGUGUAAAAUAUCAGCUGUUUAUACUAUUUAGCCAAAAUAAAUUUUCUAAUUCACUCGUCAGUCUUACCUUUUGUAAAUUACUGUAUUUUUAAAGGUACAUUUGUACAAAUCUCUUUAACAGAGUAUGUAUUAUUUGCUGGUACAUUCUUGCCCAGCACUUCUAGACUGAUUUGGAAAUUGCCGACUUCACUAUUCCUGACUCAGUGAUUAGGCAAUGGCCUUUUCAGACAUUUGGCAUUAGUCGAAUAGGAGAUACUUCUCAAUUACUGCAUUGCCGAGAGUGACGGACACCUAAACCGCCAAGACUUGUGAAUAUUCUGCAGCUAUAAUUACACACUAUUGGCUUGCAAAGCAGGACAUCAUCCCUCUUCAGGAACAAAAUUGAGGUCCAAGCAGUACCCAGUGGCCUCAUAAAUAUCUGUUUACAACGUAAACAACCAGGGAAUGAAGUACAGCACCAGCAAAAGACUUUGCAAAAUAAAAUAAUUUGUCUUACAUGUUUUAUGCUUGUAUCAUCUGUAGAGAUGUAAGAAGUUACAUUAGAAAAUACUUUGUACUGCCAUUCUUAAUUGUAUUUUUUUAUACUUCUGGCAGCAUUAAAUAUUUUUUUAAUUGCCA
Molecule: non-coding RNA, 2569 nt
Organism: Pogona vitticeps (central bearded dragon)
Lineage: Eukaryota; Metazoa; Chordata; Lepidosauria; Squamata; Agamidae
Source: RefSeq, a predicted model, not a curated record